RNAcentral lists this ribosomal RNA (492 nucleotides) under uncultured bacterium. RNAcentral describes it as "partial 16S ribosomal RNA". It matches the Rfam family "Bacterial small subunit ribosomal RNA", at positions 29 to 507 of the family's 1533-position model. The record is from RNAcentral.
AGUGAACGCUGGCGGUAGGCCUAACACAUGCAAGUCGAACGGCAGCACAGUAAGAGCUUGCUCUUACGGGUGGCGAGUGGCGGACGGGUGAGGAAUACAUCGGAAUCUACUUUUUCGUGGGGGAUAACGCAGGGAAACUUACGCUAAUACCGCAUACGACCUACGGGUGAAAGCAGGGGAUCUUCGGACCUUGCGCGAUUGAAUGAGCCGAUGUCGGAUUAGCUAGUUGGCGGGGUAAAGGCCCACCAAGGCGACGAUCCGUAGCUGGUCUGAGAGGAUGAUCAGCCACACUGGAACUGAGACACGGUCCAGACUCCUAAGGGAGGCAGCAGUGGGGAAUAUUGGACAAUGGGCGCAAGCCUGAUCCAGCCAUACCGCGUGGGUGAAGAAGGCCUUCGGGUUGUAAAGCCCUUUUGUUGGGAAAGAAAAGCAGCAGGUUAAUACCCCGCUGUUCUGACGGUACCCAAAGAAUAAGCACCGGCUAACUUCGUG